Molecule: ribosomal RNA, 377 nt
Filed under: uncultured bacterium
Lineage: Bacteria
Description: bacterial SSU rRNA
Rfam family: Bacterial small subunit ribosomal RNA
Source: RNAcentral
UAAGACGUAGGAUGCAAGCGUUGUCCGGAUUUAUUGGGCGUAAAGAGUUCGUAGGCGGUUCAUUAAGUCUGGUGUAAAAGACUGGGGCUCAACCCUGGGAUCGCACUGGAUACUGGUGGACUGGAGUGCAGUAGAGGCAAGCGGAAUUCCCAGUGUAGCGGUGAAAUGCGUAGAUAUUGGGAAGAACACCGGUGGCGUAAGCGGCUUGCUGGGCUGUAACUGACGCUGAGGAACGAAAGCUAGGGGAGCAAAUGGGAUUAGAUACCCCAGUAGUCCUAGCUGUAAACGAUGGAUACUAGGCGUAUCGGGUAUCGACCCCUGAUGUGCCGCAGCAAACGCGAUAAGUAUCCCGCCUGAGUAGUACGGCCGCAAGGUUG